AUACGGAAGGUCCGGGCGUUAUCCGGAUUUAUUGGGCUUAAAGGGAGCGCAGGCGGAGAUGCAAGCGUGACGUCAAAUUUCGGGGCUCAACCCCGUCUCGCGUCGCGAACUGCGUCCCUUGGUUGCGGGAAGGGGAGGCGGAACUCGUGGUGUAGCGGUGAAAUGCAUAGAUAUCACGAAGAACUCCGAUCGCGAAGGCAGCCUUCCGGCCCGUCAACGACGCUCAUGCUCGAAGGUGCGGGUAUCAAACAGGAUUAGAUACCCUGGUAGUCCGCACAGUAAACGAUGGACACCCGCGGUUUGGCCUAUAUGGCUGAGCCGCCAAGCGAAAGCGUUAAGUGUCCCACCUGGGGAGUACGCCGGCAACGGUGAAACUCAAAGGAAUUGACGGGG
RNAcentral lists this ribosomal RNA (393 nucleotides) under uncultured bacterium. RNAcentral's name for it is "partial 16S ribosomal RNA". It matches the Rfam family "Bacterial small subunit ribosomal RNA", at positions 523 to 918 of the family's 1533-position model. The record is from RNAcentral.